Brassica napus (rape) is the source of this 1352-nucleotide long non-coding RNA. RefSeq lists it as uncharacterized. The transcript has 2 exons. The record is from RefSeq and is a predicted model, not a curated record. Lineage: Eukaryota; Viridiplantae; Streptophyta; Magnoliopsida; Brassicales; Brassicaceae.
UAAGAUUAUUGAGCCUCUGAAAAGUUAGUGUACCGUCUGUCGAAAGGGAUGGAGUCCACGGACCGAGAGAGCGGGCGUGGAUCGUCCAUUAGCCGCGGUGGGACUUUAAAAAUUCAUACAAAAAUGAAAAAUGAACCCUGGCUUUUUUGUCGGCCAUAUAUGGAUUAAACAAAGUAAAAUUAGUUAAACGUCUCUAAGGAAAAUAAAAUCUACUCGUGCUAAAAUAUUACAAAUUUACAAUAUUAAACAAGCGUAUAUGCACAAAAGGAAUGAAGCACAACAAUGAAAACUUAUAAGGUGGCAAUUUCAUUCAUACAAUGUAUAUAUAGAAGUGUGAAGAAAAAACAUGAGAGGUGAAAUGGGGUUGUUUUUCAUGCAAAAGUAAGCUUAAAAAGAUAGAGAGAGAAAAUGUUUGAUAAACGCUUAAUACCAAAGAGACCCCAUCACAAUAAAAAAUCAAGUCACAGUCAUCAUUCUUCCUCGUUAUAUACUUCAUCAAAUCUCAUGAACAGAAAUCUAAUAAGAUACUACAGUUUAUCAAGCUGGGAUCCAUGGAUUCCAUGUGUUAUGGUUAAAAGUAAUGUGCAACUUUUUUUAUAUAAAUUUGUAUAGUGAAAUAUAAAGAAAAGGAGAAAAAGAAAGGAAAGAAAGAUGGAGAUGGUGCCUUGGGCCAUACUUAAAAAAGGAACAUACAAAACACGUUGAUGUGGCUGCCUUCAGUCUCGAUUAUCCAAGGUGGAGCACUGUGGUUGGUUGGUGUCUUGAUUUGGGUCCAUAACUCCAUAUAUGCUAUUUAGUAGAUCUAACGUCUAUAUAUAAAGAUAGUGUAAUUAAUAUUUCAUAUUUGCAAGAGGCCAAGAGCCUCAGACACUGUAAGAGAAAUGGGGUGGCUCAAUUCCUUCUUCUCUCCCUUGAAGAAACUAUGGUAUCGCGUCAAUUCUGCUCAAAAGAAGAGAAGAGGAAUAUACGUAUUAUACGAGGACGUGAAGUCAUGUCCAUGCGAAGAUGUGCAUGUUUUGUGGUCUAUACUCGUGGAGUCUCACCCACAUACUUUGCAACCCAAACAAUAAAAAUUUCAUUUCUUUUGAUGUUUAACUCUCUUUUGGUUCAGAUGGUUCAUAUAUGUAUCGACUGUAUAUGCGCAAGGACGAGACAAAGGAGAAACUUGUAAGCGACAUCAUUCAUACAUAUGUUUUCUCUCACUUGUACAUAAUAAUAUAAAUACACAGAGAUAUUAUCUUUCCCAUUGAGGUUCAUAUUCUCUCUCGCGACUCUAUAUAUGUAUGUACGGUUCUCUCUUGAGGUCGUAUGUCUAUAUACUUUAUAAAUAUCGGUAUAUAUAGAUUGCAUUA